CUCAUCGGACGGCGGCCGUGAGAGCUGCGUUCUCAUUGGCUUCCCGCCCUGUCCGUCUCCCCUUCUCUGCAGGCCGCAGGGGGCUCAGUGAGUCGGAGCUGGAGCAGCCGCUUGGCUUGCUGAAGCUGGCGCGGGAUUUUGGGAGGGGGCUGGAGCAAGGGCCGAGAAGGAGAAGUGGGGCGGGAUGAUUCAUCCCUUUCCACCCCCACCCCCCACACGCUUCCUUCUGAGCUCGAGUGCAGUCACCCGGGAGCAGGGGGCGUGAGAACCCCUCCCAAUCGUGAGUGGGCUGCUGUUGCCUGUCGCCGGCGCUUGGGGCUUGCCUUCCAGCUCUAGUCUGCGCGCCGACCCACCCCUUCUCCUUCCGCUGCUGGCAUCAAGCUGGCACCUCCCCCGUGCCUUCCUGGGGGCUUUUGGGCUUUUCUCCAGCACUCAGAAGCAGCUGGAGCGCCCGCAUCCAUCGUGUUUGGGGGAGAUGGUUGUGUGUCAUGGCUGCAGUGCCCCCUUCUUGCGCUCCCCCCCCUCCCCGGUAGCUUUUUCCCUACUCCGAGGCAAAGGCUCAGUAUUCCUCCAAAAGCUGUACCACCAUCGCUACAUGUUUUAAAUGUGUGGAGGCCCCUACGCCUUGGAGUGAAGGUACCUAGGUUCUUCUCACCCUCCCAGCCUCUCGAAGCUCAUCCCUCAGCAUCUGGCUGGGUUUUAGAGAGGCCCCAGGAACAUUAGUUGAGUUGAAGCAGGCAGAGUUUGUGUGUUUCUGAGUGCUAUUGUUUGGAAACUAGCUAUGUGAACGAAUUGCUAUGGCAUUGCAGAUUCCAAUGUUUGAUUCCAAACGAUAUUAUCCAAUGUCACAUGCCCUUAGCAUCUACCAUAAAUUCCAGAAUAGGGGGCGGGGUGUUAUUUUUGCUUCUGUGAGGUAAUGAAGGAAUCUAAUGAUAGCCCUUGUAUUCUAACCGAUUUCUCUUUUCCCCAAAUCGUGCUAGAGAUAAUGGAUCCUGCCCCUUGCCUGCAUAACCCUUAAAUGAGGACGACGAUAGAAUCUUUGAAUCAAUAUAUCAGCCUGUUACUCAAUGGGUAGAAUCUUUGAAUCCAGUGACAUUCCAAGGAAGUAAUUUAUCUUGGGGGCACACAUAGUUAAUUUUCUGAGUGAUUCAUAAAACAAGUGACAAAAAUGGUUUUCAAGUCCCGUGGGAUCUUCCAAAUUUUCAACUUCCAGUAGAUAACGAUUAUUCAUAGCUUCAUUUAUAAUUUAAAAGCACUUUUUUUUGUCCAGGGAAAAGAAGUACUUUCUAUAAUCUUUGAUUUUUGGAGAAAUAGUACAAAUAAAUUGGAUUAUCUCGCAAAUAUAUUUUUUAGCACAAUGACUACAGUAGUUGAUCAUUGGUUGUGUGGGAGGAAGAAUUCACAUUGUUAUUUAAAACUAUGUUAGUCACAAAUCCUACAGGGUUUAUUUCUAACCCAUAUUUUAAUUAGUUGAGACCAGAGCUGCUAAGGUAUAUGCAAUCUGUUUACAGGCAAAGAGUUUCUUCAGAUUUGAUUGGGGGCAUUAUCUAUAUUAGUGCAGGAUACAAAGACUACAUUAGUCCAAAGACACUUUGCUCAUGCUAAGUGAUUGAUUCUUAAGAAAUUGGUGGAGAGGGUCAUCCACCCUUGCAUGUUACAAUACUUUCAUGCAUUUUGCAUUCGCUUGUGCAAGUCAGGGAAACCUUGGCUGGCAAAGUAAGGAGCUGUCAUUCUUCUGGAGUCUGGGCUUUGCCUACCACGGUAUACCAUGAAGGAGGUCUGGGGAUUAACUAGGGUAUGCCGUGUAAGAGGUCCAGUCAUUAGCAGACAGGCUACCCUUGGUUCACAGCAAAGGGUGGGUGGUCUGAGGGACUGUCCAAUGGUAGGAUUCAGUGUCAGGUACAAAUACCCUCAAUACGAUGCAGACUUACGGAACAGUUGAUCAAUUAGGAAAUAGCUUAAGAUGAGUUAGCGUUGGGUGUGUUUGGUCAGGAACUAGCACAUCAGUCACUCCUAGAGAGCUCUCCAAAUGGCUGCCUUUUGACUCUUCCAGACAUCAUGACUUGAGUCAGUCCCCGUAAUUAGAACAGUUAUUCCCGUUUUUCAGAUUAAUGAACUGACUUUCACGAUCCAGUACUGGUGAGGCUAGUAUUAGAACCCAAGAAAGGGAAGGUUGUAGUUCCUUUUCUUCAUUCACCAAGUAAAUACUGAGUCCAGAUUUUGUCAGGUCCCCACAUAACAAAACCUGAAAUAUUCAACUUUUGCUAUCCCACUUAGCUUCUCCGAGAGUUUACCAUUUUUAAAAUUAAUUUCUCUAUUUUUGUUAGGCCUUUGAAGAUGUCCUCUUGUGUUGUACUACUUGACCAUGAUGUACUUUAAAGCCCACCACCCCGGGUUAUCUUUAAAGGGGAAUUUAAGAAAUCUGAAUGCGAUUGGUGACAUUGUAGAAUGUCAGCCCGCUGGGAGAUUGUUUUCUGUUCCAGCUGGUGGUUGACCGUGCCCUGGAGUGUGGGAUUGCUGGUCCUGUAGUUUCAUCAUCCCUGGUAAUGACUGCAGCUGUUCUCGUUUGUGUAAAUACCGGAUACGAUCCCAUGAAACUUACCAUUCGCCCGAACGAUGUUCUUCAGCAAUGAGGAGAGCAAAUUGGAGGAGCACUGGCAGCUUUUCCACUCUUAAAGGAAAGAUGAAUGUUUUCUAAUGAAAACUACAAUUGCUUUUGUAUUUCUUAAACUGUAAUGCUUGGUGGCUAAUUCUGUAUUCUCUCUGAGUUAAAGAACAAACACAAGGAAGGAGGUAUUUUCUGGUAUCCCUCCCUGUUCUCAUUUAGAGCCAUUUGUCUUCAGAUUUGUGGGUGUGGGGAGGAGGGGGUGGUUCUUCAGCACCAUGUCCACCUCUGUGCAGUCAUGCUUCCCACCGUGAUGAUAAUGGACUAAACUUCCGUACCUGUGAGCCAGCCGCAGUGAAAUGCUGUCCUUUCUAAGAGUCACCAUGGUCAUGGCCUCUUCUGCCAAUAGAAACCUUAACUAAGACAGGACCCCAAAGUGGAAUUAGAACAAUAGCUGCUAGUGCCCAGUUUCUGGAUGAGCUCAAACCAGCUUCAGGGCCUUCUUCACUUAGGAGCCGUGCUCAGAAUACUCGAUGAUAGGGGUACUUAAGCCCAGAUUCAUAUUUAUGCAUGUUACACAUCUAGUUAUAGCAGGCUGAAUUCUGGGUAAAACGGGCUUCUAAGAAAAAAGCAUACCCCCCUUUCCUGGAAGUGCUUACCCAAGGAGAGGCACAAGGAGAAGAGACUGAAAGUCUCCCCUCUGCCAAGGAUGAGUCAUCGUUGCUCAGUUCAGCUCAUGGCCUUUUCUUUUUCUAAAGAGUGUAUUCUUGCUUCCUUGCCUGCUCCAAUUAAUCUUUUGAGAUUUGGAUCCACUGUUUCCCCUCUGAAUUCUUCUCUUUCAGGAGUAUGAGGGUCGAGUACUACUGACAUAGAGACCAGAGAAAAAUAGGGGUGUUAUGCACCUUGGAUUAGGAGAGUGCCCAUCAAUAUUGUUAACUGAGACAAGUAGUUUGCAUUGGAAUUGUUUUACUUUUGUGUUGCUGGAACAAGAAUACCUGAGAACAACUUAACAGGGAGAAAUUAUGUCUUUUUCUCACCUCACCGCUUCAGAGGCUUUGGUCUACCCUGGGUAAAAAAUGUAGCAGAAAAGAGCACUUACAUUAUGGCCGACAAGAAGCAAAAAGAGAUAGGAAGGGACCAAGGACAAGAUACCCUCAAGGACCUACUCGUGGCUUGCUUCCUCCAGCGGCGGCCGUGAGAGCUGCGUUCUCAUUGGCUUCCCGCCCUGUCCGUCUCCCCUUCUCUGCAGGCCGCAGGGGGCUCAGUGAGUCGGAGCUGGAGCAGCCGCUUGGCUUGCUGAAGCUGGCGCGGGAUUUUGGGAGGGGGCUGGAGCAAGGGCCGAGAAGGAGAAGUGGGGCGGGAUGAUUCAUCCCUUUCCACCCCCACCCCCCACACGCUUCCUUCUGAGCUCGAGUGCAGUCACCCGGGAGCAGGGGGCGUGAGAACCCCUCCCAAUCGUGAGUGGGCUGCUGUUGCCUGUCGCCGGCGCUUGGGGCUUGCCUUCCAGCUCUAGUCUGCGCGCCGACCCACCCCUUCUCCUUCCGCUGCUGGCAUCAAGCUGGCACCUCCCCCGUGCCUUCCUGGGGGCUUUUGGGCUUUUCUCCAGCACUCAGAAGCAGCUGGAGCGCCCGCAUCCAUCGUGUUUGGGGGAGAUGGUUGUGUGUCAUGGCUGCAGUGCCCCCUUCUUGCGCUCCCCCCCCUCCCCGGUAGCUUUUUCCCUACUCCGAGGCAAAGGCUCAGUAUUCCUCCAAAAGCUGUACCACCAUCGCUACAUGUUUUAAAUGUGUGGAGGCCCCUACGCCUUGGAGUGAAGGUACCUAGGUUCUUCUCACCCUCCCAGCCUCUCGAAGCUCAUCCCUCAGCAUCUGGCUGGGUUUUAGAGAGGCCCCAGGAACAUUAGUUGAGUUGAAGCAGGCAGAGUUUGUGUGUUUCUGAGUGCUAUUGUUUGGAAACUAGCUAUGUGAACGAAUUGCUAUGGCAUUGCAGAUUCCAAUGUUUGAUUCCAAACGAUAUUAUCCAAUGUCACAUGCCCUUAGCAUCUACCAUAAAUUCCAGAAUAGGGGGCGGGGUGUUAUUUUUGCUUCUGUGAGGUAAUGAAGGAAUCUAAUGAUAGCCCUUGUAUUCUAACCGAUUUCUCUUUUCCCCAAAUCGUGCUAGAGAUAAUGGAUCCUGCCCCUUGCCUGCAUAACCCUUAAAUGAGGACGACGAUAGAAUCUUUGAAUCAAUAUAUCAGCCUGUUACUCAAUGGGUAGAAUCUUUGAAUCCAGUGACAUUCCAAGGAAGUAAUUUAUCUUGGGGGCACACAUAGUUAAUUUUCUGAGUGAUUCAUAAAACAAGUGACAAAAAUGGUUUUCAAGUCCCGUGGGAUCUUCCAAAUUUUCAACUUCCAGUAGAUAACGAUUAUUCAUAGCUUCAUUUAUAAUUUAAAAGCACUUUUUUUUGUCCAGGGAAAAGAAGUACUUUCUAUAAUCUUUGAUUUUUGGAGAAAUAGUACAAAUAAAUUGGAUUAUCUCGCAAAUAUAUUUUUUAGCACAAUGACUACAGUAGUUGAUCAUUGGUUGUGUGGGAGGAAGAAUUCACAUUGUUAUUUAAAACUAUGUUAGUCACAAAUCCUACAGGGUUUAUUUCUAACCCAUAUUUUAAUUAGUUGAGACCAGAGCUGCUAAGGUAUAUGCAAUCUGUUUACAGGCAAAGAGUUUCUUCAGAUUUGAUUGGGGGCAUUAUCUAUAUUAGUGCAGGAUACAAAGACUACAUUAGUCCAAAGACACUUUGCUCAUGCUAAGUGAUUGAUUCUUAAGAAAUUGGUGGAGAGGGUCAUCCACCCUUGCAUGUUACAAUACUUUCAUGCAUUUUGCAUUCGCUUGUGCAAGUCAGGGAAACCUUGGCUGGCAAAGUAAGGAGCUGUCAUUCUUCUGGAGUCUGGGCUUUGCCUACCACGGUAUACCAUGAAGGAGGUCUGGGGAUUAACUAGGGUAUGCCGUGUAAGAGGUCCAGUCAUUAGCAGACAGGCUACCCUUGGUUCACAGCAAAGGGUGGGUGGUCUGAGGGACUGUCCAAUGGUAGGAUUCAGUGUCAGGUACAAAUACCCUCAAUACGAUGCAGACUUACGGAACAGUUGAUCAAUUAGGAAAUAGCUUAAGAUGAGUUAGCGUUGGGUGUGUUUGGUCAGGAACUAGCACAUCAGUCACUCCUAGAGAGCUCUCCAAAUGGCUGCCUUUUGACUCUUCCAGACAUCAUGACUUGAGUCAGUCCCCGUAAUUAGAACAGUUAUUCCCGUUUUUCAGAUUAAUGAACUGACUUUCACGAUCCAGUACUGGUGAGGCUAGUAUUAGAACCCAAGAAAGGGAAGGUUGUAGUUCCUUUUCUUCAUUCACCAAGUAAAUACUGAGUCCAGAUUUUGUCAGGUCCCCACAUAACAAAACCUGAAAUAUUCAACUUUUGCUAUCCCACUUAGCUUCUCCGAGAGUUUACCAUUUUUAAAAUUAAUUUCUCUAUUUUUGUUAGGCCUUUGAAGAUGUCCUCUUGUGUUGUACUACUUGACCAUGAUGUACUUUAAAGCCCACCACCCCGGGUUAUCUUUAAAGGGGAAUUUAAGAAAUCUGAAUGCGAUUGGUGACAUUGUAGAAUGUCAGCCCGCUGGGAGAUUGUUUUCUGUUCCAGCUGGUGGUUGACCGUGCCCUGGAGUGUGGGAUUGCUGGUCCUGUAGUUUCAUCAUCCCUGGUAAUGACUGCAGCUGUUCUCGUUUGUGUAAAUACCGGAUACGAUCCCAUGAAACUUACCAUUCGCCCGAACGAUGUUCUUCAGCAAUGAGGAGAGCAAAUUGGAGGAGCACUGGCAGCUUUUCCACUCUUAAAGGAAAGAUGAAUGUUUUCUAAUGAAAACUACAAUUGCUUUUGUAUUUCUUAAACUGUAAUGCUUGGUGGCUAAUUCUGUAUUCUCUCUGAGUUAAAGAACAAACACAAGGAAGGAGGUAUUUUCUGGUAUCCCUCCCUGUUCUCAUUUAGAGCCAUUUGUCUUCAGAUUUGUGGGUGUGGGGAGGAGGGGGUGGUUCUUCAGCACCAUGUCCACCUCUGUGCAGUCAUGCUUCCCACCGUGAUGAUAAUGGACUAAACUUCCGUACCUGUGAGCCAGCCGCAGUGAAAUGCUGUCCUUUCUAAGAGUCACCAUGGUCAUGGCCUCUUCUGCCAAUAGAAACCUUAACUAAGACAGGACCCCAAAGUGGAAUUAGAACAAUAGCUGCUAGUGCCCAGUUUCUGGAUGAGCUCAAACCAGCUUCAGGGCCUUCUUCACUUAGGAGCCGUGCUCAGAAUACUCGAUGAUAGGGGUACUUAAGCCCAGAUUCAUAUUUAUGCAUGUUACACAUCUAGUUAUAGCAGGCUGAAUUCUGGGUAAAACGGGCUUCUAAGAAAAAAGCAUACCCCCCUUUCCUGGAAGUGCUUACCCAAGGAGAGGCACAAGGAGAAGAGACUGAAAGUCUCCCCUCUGCCAAGGAUGAGUCAUCGUUGCUCAGUUCAGCUCAUGGCCUUUUCUUUUUCUAAAGAGUGUAUUCUUGCUUCCUUGCCUGCUCCAAUUAAUCUUUUGAGAUUUGGAUCCACUGUUUCCCCUCUGAAUUCUUCUCUUUCAGGAGUAUGAGGGUCGAGUACUACUGACAUAGAGACCAGAGAAAAAUAGGGGUGUUAUGCACCUUGGAUUAGGAGAGUGCCCAUCAAUAUUGUUAACUGAGACAAGUAGUUUGCAUUGGAAUUGUUUUACUUUUGUGUUGCUGGAACAAGAAUACCUGAGAACAACUUAACAGGGAGAAAUUAUGUCUUUUUCUCACCUCACCGCUUCAGAGGCUUUGGUCUACCCUGGGUAAAAAAUGUAGCAGAAAAGAGCACUUACAUUAUGGCCGACAAGAAGCAAAAAGAGAUAGGAAGGGACCAAGGACAAGAUACCCUCAAGGACCUACUCGUGGCUUGCUUCCUCCAGGGCAUGCUUCUUGGAAAAGCCUAAUCAAGAUAAAGAGUGAGUGAGUUGGGGAGAGAGCAGGUGCGUGUUGAAAAGGGAACUUGGAGUCGUCUGGGGAUGCGGAGCAAAAGGAAGUCUCAGUUACUGCUGACGGGGACGCAAAAUACAGCGUUUUGCAGAAUUUAGCAGUUUCCUACAAGACGUUCAGACUAUCAGAACAGUUCUUCAGGGGACAUUCCCAUCCGAGUGAUUCUAAAUUAUGUCAGGAUAAGUCUAGGACUGUCAUUAUUACCAGGACACUGACGAUGAACUUGGGGACACCACUGAACCACUAUAAUAUUUCCCUCUUCCAAAUGUGGCCACACCAAGUAAGUAAUCUUUCUCCAUUCUUCACGAUUAUCCGUGUGUUUAAUUUGGCCUAUUAAGAGUGAAUGGCUGGACCUGGGAUUUUAGAGCUAGCUGGGUUCAGGCUUUGACCCUAACAACGCCUGGAUGCUGAGAUAGUUCCUUGAACUCCAAAGCUUCUACCAGUCUCUCAUUUUAGGACAUAUUUUGGGGAGAAAGAGGAAGAUCUGCCUGGGGGUCUUCAGGGAGAGAGUUUCCCCUGCUUGCUGGGACUAGGAGAGACUCGGUGGUGCACUUAGUCCUACAAACAUCUCACACAUGCACCUGUGCUAAAUUAGGCUAGAGAUACUUUAAGUGACAUUUACGCAGGAUAAAAUAGAGCAGAGGCUCAUUCGGGAAAGGAGAAUUAAAUAAAUAUAAUUUUAUUUUAUUUGUUGUGCAGAAAAUUUCUGCUUCAGUCUUACAGCAAUUGUAAGGUGAUGGCAGGCUAAGUUUGAUCACUUAGGCAGAGAAGCAUGCUCUUGUGCUGCACCUCACUUCUCACUAAUACUUUGUUUAUGGAUCACAUUUGGUUCUCCUUAUCCUAGUGAGUAAGCAGCUUUAGAGGAAUGGGGGCUCCCAGAUGUGAUGUAAAGGCUAAAAAGACACAGGCUUAGGUCACUCGCAGGGCCAGCCAAAUCAAUUUUGCAAGACAACAUUUUGUACCCCAUGUUUCCCUUUCCACCUCUAGAAAUUGAUGGAGAAACACUGAUUCCCUACAGGAGUGAGCUUGUUGCUCGUACUUUUGCUACCCUGGCUAAGCUCCUGGAACGGACUGCGCUACCCACACCCACCCAGCUUUCCUUGAAUUCACAGACAAAAGACAGACACACACAGUUGUUCAAUUUCAAUUUGCCUUUUGACAGAGUUGCUGGAAGCUACUAUCUCCCACCUGGAGAAUCGUGCCCUUAUCGCUCUUCUCAUCUCAGCCCCUCCUGUCCGCCCUAAACUUUACGCACUCAGUUACAUUUAGUUCAUCUGCCUGUAGGGGCAGCCUGGGUUUCAAGAUCUGACAUGACUGGUCAACUUUUCUUCAUCAGAAGCAUGGCAAACACCUCUCCUCUCUCCUUGUGUCUCUCUGCUUGCCUUCAGGGAUUUGGAAGUCCCACAUACCCCUUCCGCCCAGCAGUUGGCCCAUGGCUUCUUUACUGAUAGAUCAAGAACCAACUGGGGAACAGGACCUUAGCAUCAGACCCACACCUACAUGAGUUUAUGUCCGUCUGCUUCCACUGUGGCCUAGAAACUCCAGAGAGUUCAUGGUCCCUUCCCUGGAAUCUGACGUAUUCAGUUUUUUGUUAAGUAUUACAAUAAAUGACAAUUUUCAAAUAACAUGAUAGGCAUUUUCUCUCCCUUGGUGAUGCAGAUAUAGGCCAGGUUAGACCAGAUUAAAAGUAGAUAAAGGCAAGUUUAUUAGGAGGAAGCUUUUAUGGGGUGAGGUGGGGGGUUCACCAAUCUCACAGGUUGAGGUCAGCAAAGUCACAAAUCCGGGCAACAAGGGGGGUUUAUAGUGUUUAGGUAUGGAUCUGGGAUGUUGUCUAUACAUGGUCAAAAACUGAGUCCCUGAGCAGGCACUCUUGGGUGGGUUGUGUAAACUCAGAGACAAGGAAUGAUGACAUGUUAACCGGGAGUUUUCUCCAAGCAGAUGGGGGAGUUUCCUCUGUGUGGGAGGGAUUUGGGGAAGGAGGCCAUACAGGGUUCCCACUUGUACUGGGGAUGAGCAGGGGUUCCAGCCUAACAGUACGGUCUAGGAAUAAGCUUAAUUUAAAGUUCCUUGUAUUAUAGUGAAAACCUAUCAUCCUUACUAAACAGAUCAGGCCUCAUCUCACUUUGAAGUGUGUCUGUUCUGGCAAAUGCUGUCUAUGGAGUUUUCCAACAAAUGGUGGAUGAACUUUUGCUUAGCUGGGCAAUUUCUACUAACGAAAGCAGUCGUUUUCAUUGAUGUUAUUGCUAGAAUAAAAACCUUUCCCUUCCAACUGAUACUUCCCAAUCAUCUCCAUUCCCCUAUUCAAGCAUCCCCCACAACCCCACUGAAGCACCCUCAUCACCAGCUGCAGGAGCUCAGAGCCCCAUCUUAGAUAAGAACCCAUCUGUGAGUCAGUGUCUCACAGUUGCUCACCUCAGCCACAGCGUGGCAUCCUCUUCAGCUCUGGAUCUGCUGACGUGUAUUUAUUUACCUGUUGGAGUUGCUGCUUCGGGUUACAUUUUAGCCUCUGAUUUACUCCUUUAGUAUUCUCAGGUACAUGUGUGCUAGGCUAGUCAUAACUGUAGUCUCUGGGGUGUUGGUGCGUGCCCUCCAUGUACAGAUAGCUUGUGAGAAUGUAUGACUUCAUCACACCCUGCGACAGAUAACACAAGUCACAGAAUAUCACACCCUCAGGUGUUAAUUCAAAUCCCUCUGGGAACCUAGAUAACAAUUGAGAAUUGCAUAACUUCCGGCUUCUUGAUUAGCAUAGACUCUGUGGGGGUGGGCAAAUGGUUUUAUGCGUAAGAGAAUUUGCUGUUUAAGCAUGGUGACUUAAAUUCAAGUCUCUGUCACCCUCUUAAAAGCCAAGGUUGGACCCAAGCCAGUUAUCUUAGAGCCGUGGAAGGUGGAGGCAGGACAGAUGGGUGAAGCUAACUCCUCGCUGGCCAGCCUCCUGAUUCAGCGGGAGAGCCUGUCUCAAGGCAGAUGGUAACAGAGGAGAACCCCAAUAUCCCCUCUGUUUUCUUUACACACGUGCACAGAUGCACACACCCAUACAACAUGUGUUCCUAUAAACCCUCACAUUCAACACAAAAAACACAAAUUUGAAAAGCAAGCAUUUUUAAACUAAGGAAAAAAUAAUGAAAUAAAAUUCAACUCAACAACAGUCAUUAAACCUAGAUGCCUAUGUAUUACAUAUAAGAGGAAAUAUUUGGCUGCCUGGUCAUUUCCCUUCUGUAUGAAUUAGACCCCACCCCCAAUCCCCAGUAAUUUCCUGAAGGAAAACCCUGAUGGUGAACUUGAUGGAGAAAAUUAGAAGUUUUGCUUCCACCAAAGGUGAAACUGGAGAGAGAACCCUACAGGCGCUAGGAGGCCAGCAUCUCCUAGUUGGCUUUUACUGAUAUGAUCAAACUUCUAUAAAUGAAGAAAUACAGAGCCAUCUUCUCUCCUGGCUUCUGGGCCUCAUCCUUUCCAGCUUCUUUCCCCAGUCCUGUCUGUGUUGUUGCUCUGUGACUAACAGGUUCCUCUGCUGUUAGACCUUACCCUCUCAACAAGGUCCAUGGCCAAUUCUAAAUGAAAACAACAUAAACAAAGUAGUAAGUGGAUUGUCAUUUAAAGGUAAGCUAUUAAUGGUGUAGGCCUUCUGGGUAGAGAUAGGAGUCUAGACAUUGUUAGCGGGUGUGUGUAGCAGCACUGCCUAAGAAUUCACAGAGAGGUCAACCACACUAAUGACUUUCCCUGGUAACAAUUCUCAUUAGAACUACUUCCUCCAAAGGAGUGUCUCAGGAAGGCAGAGCAUGUCCUCCUGAGAGCCAAAGCCAGUGAGGGAGUCAGUCAGGAGCUUCCCUUACCAUUGUUCACCCAGGGCUGAAUCCUCACUACUUUCUCUUCUCGUGCUACUGCUAUGUGCCCAUGGGUGCACACUGCUAAAUUUGCUAUUUGUUCAGAGGAAAACUUAAUUCCCAAUUUGCUUUUGGACACCAAGCUUGAUCUUAAUAACCCUGCCUGACAGUUUGUUAAAAGCUUUCUGAAUCAGGCAGGGCUAAUGGGUUUCUGUUUGCAUGCCAACUCCCAAUGAUUGAUUGGUCGUGGAUGUCUAGCAUAGGGUCUGGGAUCAGACAAAGUUUUAAAAUUCUGGAGCCGGCUCUUGGUAGUUUUGUUAACAUGGACGAGUUUCUUAUCCCCACCUAAACCUCAGUUUCCCCAUUUGGAAGGAUACUGGUGGUAUUCACUUGCUCUAGAAAGUGUACCAAAUGAGAAAUAUACCACAGGUGCAUAACACAGAACUUAGGAACACAGUUUACACCAACUGAAUGCAGCCCUGGUUAGAGGGAAGUGGUGGAGAAGUCCUGAUGUUGUUCUCCUAUUGUUCACAUAUAAGGCUCUGCCCACCUCAUCCUGAGGACUUUAGUGUGUCUCCCUGUGUGGUGACAAGCAUGACUCAGGCAAGACAAUCUCCUCAUCUGCCCCAACUCUGUUCCUUCACUUGUGAAAUGGGGCUAAGAUAGUGUCUCCCUCAUGGAUGGAUGUAGAAAUAUAAAACAGUAUUGCCAGACAAGCUCAGCCCUGUAAGCUCCCUAAAGGAGCUCCCCAGGAAGUGUGGAAGGCUGGGGCGAGGAGUAGGGGAGGGACAGUACACUCACUUAGAAAGGCUUUUUCCUGUCAGCAGCUGUCACUCAUCCCUAUGGAACAAAUGGCAGCAGGGACAAACUGGCACAUCCUGCUGCUCCUCCACGAGGUGCGGUAGUGGGUGGCAUGGUGGCUUCAUUCAUAAGCCCACCUCCACCACCUCUCUUCCACCUGUCAAAACUGCAGGGGCUGCUUAGCACCUCAUGGAAAUUCUAAUCUGCAAUAAAGUCAUCAAUAAAUACAUCUGCCCGUGCAUGCAGGCGGCAGGACACAUUUGAGAAUUCAAAAUCCUAGGUAGAGGAGGGUAUGAACGCCGUCAGCUUGUCCUGUCACCAGGCGUGAUAUCUGAACACUGUUGUCAUCACAGAGCUGUUUGGUAUCUGCCAAGCUUAGAUUUUCCUCUCAAGUGUGAAGUAGACUGUUCAAGAGAAGAAAACUUCAUCAAGCCCCAGAUAGGAGGAAAAAGCCCUGUCCUUGACUUUGUAAAGUGGAAGUUUUGGUCUCUGUAUGUUAGCAUACAGGCCUGUGCUUUGUGGCCCUAAGGGACUUUCUUGUUCCUCCUCAAACCCCUUUGGCUUUCAUUGCCUUCCUCUCCCUCCUCACAUCCCUGCUAUGUAACAGUGACAAGGAACGGCCUGCUGUGUUUGUCACACUCUGCACAGUCACUGAUGAAUUAAGUCACUGCUCAGUAGAUGAACACAAGCCUGCCUGAUGACAGAGACAGACACCUACAGGAUGCUUCCUCUGAGUGUGCACAGGGCUGGCUUUGCUGCCUAUAGUCACAGCAAGUUGGAUUGUUCUAGUAGGGAAAUGGUGCUCUAAUUGUGUUUCCUACAUCUGCGGCAAAUAAAAACUGUCAGAUGUAAGUUGUAAGUUACACACAGGGAAUAAUUCUAGUUCAGGAAAUUAAGUUAGAAGAAUCUUGGUGAAUAUAAAUGUUCUUCCGGUGAGCUUUGUUGAGAUUUGAGCCAGGCAUAUACAUAAAAUCUUACUACUCAGAGGGCUGAGCUGAGGGGAUUGUACCUGUGGUCAGCCUGGGCUAUGCGGUGAGUUCAAAACAAGCCUGUACUACAUAGUAACACUCUGCCAGAAGUUUCACUCGGAAGAGGGAGAAGAAGGAGGGAAGGGAAAGGAAGGA
This 13386-nucleotide small RNA is filed under the name Rattus norvegicus (Norway rat). RNAcentral describes it as "uncharacterized LOC102549102". Lineage: Eukaryota; Metazoa; Chordata; Mammalia; Rodentia; Muridae. The record is from RNAcentral.